GAUGUUAUAGUUUAUAGAAAAUUUUAAAUUGCAAAUUUAAAGAAAGAUUAUUCUUAACAUUU
RNAcentral lists this transfer RNA (62 nucleotides) under Heterosternuta allegheniana. Its description in RNAcentral is "tRNA-Cys". Lineage: Eukaryota; Metazoa; Arthropoda; Insecta; Coleoptera; Dytiscidae. The record is from RNAcentral.